RNAcentral lists this transfer RNA (73 nucleotides) under Candidatus Nealsoniibacteriota bacterium. RNAcentral's name for it is "Candidatus Nealsonbacteria bacterium tRNA-Glu". It matches the Rfam family "tRNA". Rfam says of the family: Transfer RNA (tRNA) molecules are approximately 80 nucleotides in length. Their secondary structure includes four short double-helical elements and three loops (D, anti-codon, and T loops). Lineage: Bacteria; Candidatus Nealsoniibacteriota. The record is from RNAcentral.
GGCCCCAUCGUCUAAUGGUUUAGGACGUCGGGUUCUCAUCCCGGUAACAGGGGUUCGACUCCCCUUGGGGCCA